RNAcentral lists this ribosomal RNA (426 nucleotides) under Proshermacha sp. MYG465. RNAcentral's name for it is "partial large subunit ribosomal RNA". It matches the Rfam family "Archaeal large subunit ribosomal RNA", at positions 1959 to 2666 of the family's 2987-position model. Lineage: Eukaryota; Metazoa; Arthropoda; Arachnida; Araneae; Anamidae. The record is from RNAcentral.
UAAAAGCAUUAAUUUUUAGUACACCCUGCUCAAUGAAUCUUAAAUAGCCGCAAAAUUUGUGCUAAGGUAGCAUAAUCAUUUGCCUAAUAAUUGUAGGAUAGUAUGAAAGGGAUAACAUGUAAUCUUCUUUAUCAAGAAAAGUUUUCUAACUUAUAAAGUAAGCAAAAAUUCUUACAUGACAAGGGGGACGAUAAGACCCUAUCAAACUUCACCACAAGGUUAAGCUGGGGCGGCAGGAAAUUAAAACUUUACUCAAUGUACCACAGCAAAACCUAGAUACUAGAUAAAACAAGUUACUGUAGGGAUAACAGCACGAUCACCCUUUAAAGAUCUUAUAAAAGGGGUGGCUUGUGACCUCGAUGUUGAAUUAAAGAUCUUUUUGAGGCAAUCCUCAAAAAAGAAAGUCUGUUCGACUUUUAAACCAUU